ACGGAAGGCAGCAGUGGGGAAUAUUGGGCAAUGGGCGAAAGCCUGACCCAGCAACGCCGCGUGAGGGAAGAAGGUUCUCGGAUUGUAAACCUCUGUCCUAAGAGAAAAGCAGAAGAUGGUACCCAAGGAGGAAGCUCCGGCUAACUACGUGCCAGCAGCCGCGGUAAUACGUAGGGAGCGAGCGUUGUCCGGAAUGAUUGGGCGUAAAGGGCGCGUAGGCGGCUUUUUAAGUCUGAAGUGAAAGUCCUGCUUUUAAGGUGGGAAUUGCUUUGGAUACUGGAGAGCUUGAGUGCGGGAGAGGUUAUCGGAAUUCCCAGUGUAGCGGUGAAAUGCGUAGAGAUUGGGAAGAACACCAGUGGCGAAGGCGGGUAACUGGACCGCAACUGACGCUGAGGCGCGAAAGUGUGGGGAGCAAACAGGAUUAGAUACCCUGGUA
Molecule: ribosomal RNA, 436 nt
Filed under: uncultured bacterium
Lineage: Bacteria
Description: partial 16S ribosomal RNA
Rfam family: Bacterial small subunit ribosomal RNA
Source: RNAcentral